RNAcentral lists this ribosomal RNA (793 nucleotides) under uncultured beta proteobacterium. Its description in RNAcentral is "bacterial SSU rRNA". It matches the Rfam family "Bacterial small subunit ribosomal RNA", at positions 8 to 796 of the family's 1533-position model. The record is from RNAcentral. Lineage: Bacteria; Pseudomonadati; Pseudomonadota; Betaproteobacteria.
AGAGUUUGAUCCUGGCUCAGAUUGAACGCUGGCGGCAUGCCUUACACAUGCAAGUCGAACGCGAAAGGGGGGGCAACCCCCCGAGUAGAGUGGCGAACGGGUGAGUAAUACAUCGGAACGUGCCCAGUAGCGGGGGAUAACCUCUCGAAAGAGAGGCUAAUACCGCAUACGUCCUACGGGAGAAAGAGGGGGUCGCAAGACCUCUCACUAUUGGAGCGGCCGAUGUCGGAUUAGCUAGUUGGCGGGGUAAAAGCCCACCAAGGCUACGAUCCGUAGCUGGUCUGAGAGGACGACCAGCCACACUGGAACUGAGACACGGUCCAGACUCCUACGGGAGGCAGCAGUGGGGAAUUUUGGACAAUGGGCGCAAGCCUGAUCCAGCCAUGCCGCGUGGGUGAAGAAGGCCUUCGGGUUGUAAAGCCCUUUCGGCUGGGACGAAAAGGUCCGUGCUAACACCACGGAUCCAUGACGGUACCAGCAGAAGAAGCACCGGCUAACUACGUGCCAGCAGCCGCGGUAAUACGUAGGGUGCAGGCGUUAAUCGGAAUUACUGGGCGUAAAGCGUGCGCAGGCGGUUUGCUAAGAGAGAUGUGAAAUCCCCGGGCUUAACCUGGGAACUGCGUUUCUAACUGGCAAGCUUGAGUGUGGCAGAGGGGGGUGGAAUUCCAGGUGUAGCAGUGAAAUGCGUAGAGAUCUGGAGGAACACCGAUGGCGAAGGCAGCCCCCUGGGCUAACACUGACGCUCAUGCACGAAAGCGUGGGGAGCAAACAGGAUUAGAUACCCCGGUAGUCC